CCGAGGAGAAAGAAAAGAAAUGAGAGCUCCAUGUUUUCCUGAUGCUGUCCUAGAAGGGGAAUCACGUAACUGCUUGACUUUUGGGAACAAGGCGAAACUGCAGUGCCCCGACUCGCAGACUGCGCUGAGCGACGGCUGCCCUGGGUGGCGGGGAGCCUGUUUCCAGCCGGACCGCGUCCCGGGGCACUCCGCAGCGCCGCGCCUGCGCGCUCAGCCCGUCGCCGCGCCAGCCCCGCCGACGUGCGCUCGCUGCCUCCGCGGCGCCAGGCCCCGGAGAUGCGCGCCUGCCCGGUCCGUGCCAGCUCCAGACAUCUGUGGAGUUUAAGAACAUGGAGUUCAUC
RNAcentral lists this long non-coding RNA (341 nucleotides) under Ailuropoda melanoleuca (giant panda). RNAcentral describes it as "lncRNA (ENSAMEG00000031486.1)". The record is from RNAcentral. Lineage: Eukaryota; Metazoa; Chordata; Mammalia; Carnivora; Ursidae.